UUUGUUUGAUGGGUAUGUCAUUAUAAGCAUGGCCACAAUUAUGAAUGACAACACUGUGCAUGUUCAUGUACGUAAUCAAUAUGUCCACGUUAAUGGCUACUUAGGAAUAUUAAUAGAAACUAAAGCAUUGGAGCAUUUUUGUCUUGUCAAACACUGUGCAUUGCUAAUGUAUUUUAAUCUUGGCUUAACGCU
Molecule: long non-coding RNA, 192 nt
Organism: Amphimedon queenslandica
Lineage: Eukaryota; Metazoa; Porifera; Demospongiae; Haplosclerida; Niphatidae
Exons: 3
Source: RefSeq, a predicted model, not a curated record